Orbicella faveolata is the source of this 638-nucleotide long non-coding RNA. The record is from RefSeq and is a predicted model, not a curated record. NCBI's taxonomy places the organism in Eukaryota, Metazoa, Cnidaria, Anthozoa, Scleractinia, Merulinidae.
GUAUCAAUAACUAGGUUGCACAGAAGUGCCUGCCCUUUUACAAAGAGUAUUUUGGUAUUGGUUACGUAUUGCCCAAGCUUGACCUCAUUGCCAUCCAAGACUUUGUUAUAGGAGCUAUGGAAAACUGGGGUUUGGUCACCUACAGGGAGACCUGCUUGCUAAUAGAUCCAAAAGACUCUUCUGCUGCAGCUAAACAGUAUGUGGCACUGGUUGUUGGUGAGUUGAAUGUGGUACUGACUUGAUUAACUUUUUUUUCAUUAAUUUUUAUUACAUGUAAUUUACAAACAAUAAGUUAUACAUGUAUAUAGGAAAAACUUACACAAUACUUAAUUACAUUACAAUUGAUGAUAGUUAAGAUUACUUACAUUGUUUAGUUUACAUAGCUAAAACAACACUGUUUGUUAAUGUCCAGUUUUUUUUUGUUUUGUUUUGUUUUUUGUUUUAACAUUCCAAACAAAACUUAAAGCAGCUCCACUAAUGCUGCACUUGCUGCAUAUGUACAGUAUGGUAAGCUGAGCAUUAUAUUACUGACCAAAAAAUAAAACAUGAACACUAUUUACAUCAUUUACUUAGUUAACAAAACAAAGAAAACACAUCACCAAUGCAUGUUAUAACAUAACUAAAGCAAAGCGCGCGCU